RNAcentral lists this transfer RNA (84 nucleotides) under Candidatus Daviesbacteria bacterium. RNAcentral's name for it is "tRNA-Leu". It matches the Rfam family "tRNA". Rfam says of the family: Transfer RNA (tRNA) molecules are approximately 80 nucleotides in length. Their secondary structure includes four short double-helical elements and three loops (D, anti-codon, and T loops). Further hydrogen bonds mediate the characteristic L-shaped molecular structure. tRNAs have two regions of fundamental functional importance: the anti-codon, which is responsible for specific mRNA codon recognition, and the 3' end, to which the tRNAs corresponding amino acid is attached (by aminoacyl-tRNA synthetases). tRNAs cope with the degeneracy of the genetic code in two manners: having more than one tRNA (with a specific anti-codon) for a particular amino acid; and 'wobble' base-pairing, i.e. permitting non-standard base-pairing at the 3rd anti-codon position. The record is from RNAcentral. Lineage: Bacteria; Candidatus Daviesiibacteriota.
GCCGGGGUGGUGGAACAGCAGACACGUAUCUCUCAAAAAGAUAUGAGCCAAAAGCUCGUGAGGGUGCAAAUCCCUCUCCCGGUA